CGGCGCGAGGUCUCGGGGUCGGUUAUUCCUCGCGUCUAUCUCUUCCGUGUGUCCGCUGUCCGCAGGUAAAGGUACCAAAGGCGGCACUCUCUCCGCCGCCGCUACCUCCCCAGAUGCCCACACCCUCUCCCCAAUCUGCCCGCACCACAUCCCGGCGAGCACGCACCACCACACCACCGCAUAUGCACAUCUUCCUAUCGACGCUAGAAGAGCGGCAGCGAGGAAUAUCGGGAUGGGCAGAGGCCGAUUGGAGGUGCAGCGGUUGCCCCAAUGCCCUAUCUAAGGCCGCACGGUCGCCACCACAACCUCUGGAGAGGCCUCCUCGGCUGCGCGCUUUCGUCGGCAGCUGUUCAGGUUGGAGGUGUAUGGAGAACAAACUGGCGGUGGAGACCGAAGUCGAGGCGUCGAGCUCUAGAUUGGUGUCAUCGAAAGGCUAGAGGAAUAAGGGGAGUAUUCCCGCACCGAGGAGUGUAGGGGACAGACCAAUUUCUGAGUGCAGCCCCCGACCAGCGGGCACCCCGUCCACUGACAAUCAUUGGAGGAGCUCAGCUAAGAGCGUCCCGGAGGAGCAAAGUGAGGCGUGUGGACGCGCACGCGGUCCAUGCUUGUGGUGCAUACAGUGAUUCUUCCACAACAUUACAACCUAAAUAAGUCAAGGUCUAGAGAUAAAUAAAUCCUAUGAGCAGAGUGACCAGUUAACGCAGUCCUACAGAAAAAAGUGCAAGUACUACUAGCCAACUAGCUAAAUGUGCCCAGGUUCAGAUCUCCUAACAUUCUUCUUAAUUUCUCUCAAGAAAGUAGUAAUAAGUGCAAUGCAGGAUUGGCUAGAGCUACUUUUUGUUUGGCUACAUCUCCUUUUCAUGACAAAAAAAUUCCCUCGGUUGCACCUGCAUUCUGCAAUAUUAACACACCACAUGUUUUAGAAAAAAGACAUCAGUUUUGUUGAAAAUAACCACUCCUUUUCUCUUAACUGUUUAGUUUCUGUGUUCUGCUCAUCAGUUCCCUUGUGUCUUGGUUCAUUCUUCGUCCAUGGUUGCAGCAUUCGGUUUGGAUUUCUUCCACCAAUUCAGGUUUUGCAAGAAGCCGAGAGGCCUGUUUUGAGUGGGUGUGCUGCAAAUCUUUCACACAAGGUGAUGGUUUUAACAACCGGCGGGAGGUGUCAUGAGGCAAGGGCUUGCAUGAGUCUCGAAUUUGGAUGGAGAAAGCAUCAAGAUAUUGCUCUACAGUUUGAAAAGCUAGCAAUGAACGCCCAUGUUAGCUAUACCUGCCUACAUUGCAAGGGGUACAAUGCUAGCGACUCAGACACAAAUGGUAUUAAGGAAACAGUCAAAUAAUGGAUAUUUCCGAGCUAAUGCGAUUACUGGCAGGGGUGUGUAGUGACUACACAGCAAGCUGAGGGGACACAAACUAUUCAAAUAUGCAGUUGUAUCAUGAAAAUUGUUUUGGGCCUGGUUUCAGAGUCUUGCUCCGUACCAAGGAAUGCAUGGAGACCUUGGCAUUGCUAUGUGUGUGUAAGCUUCAGUAAUCGUUGGGCAUUAAUCUCGACCACAUAUGUUGGUCUCCUGCCGCACUAUGGGUCCUUAAGCUAGAUUUGUAGAAGUGUCUAUUGUUGCGUGACAUGUAGGUUGCCUGUAAGGUUCUGGGUUUGGCUGUAAAUAUUAGUAACUUAUGAUUUCCCAGUUUUUUUUUUUUUUUUUUUUUGCAUUUUGAGUGCCUGAAGGAGAUGAUUCCAGUGUUCUAUUAACUGAAAGUUAAAUCUGGUUCUCCUAUAGCGACAACACACGAGGAAAGAAUGCAGCGGCGGCAUUUGGGGUCCUGACUUGCAGACUAAGGUUCAGAAAGGAGUUUGCGCGUCAUUGUCUAUAUGUUGGGUAUUCCUAUCUUAGUUUCUUGACUGAUGUAAGAUUUUCUCGGGCCCAAUCACUUUGAACCAUGAAUGGAAAAUCUCAAACUGUUAUUGUUUU
Long non-coding RNA from Lolium perenne, 1964 nucleotides. RefSeq lists it as uncharacterized. NCBI's taxonomy places the organism in Eukaryota, Viridiplantae, Streptophyta, Magnoliopsida, Poales, Poaceae. The record is from RefSeq and is a predicted model, not a curated record.